AAGGGCACCACAAGAACGCGUGGAGCAUGUGGCUUAAUUUGACAACGCGGGAAAACUUACCGGGUCCGGACACACUGAGGAUUGACAGGCGAUAAAUUAUGCUAGUCCUUUCGUGAUUGUGUGACUCUUUGGAUAGCGAAGCCCGUUCUUAGUUCGUGGAGUGAUCUGUCUGCUUAAUUGCGUUUCAGAUAAAGUGUCGAUCGACCGCUCUUUUGUCUACGGGCACUUUCGCGCAGGUACGCGAUCAAGCAACGAACGUGACCGAAGGAACGAAUUCGCGGCCGACUAAAUACAAUCGCCAUGAGAGAGGAAAAAAAGAU
Molecule: ribosomal RNA, 320 nt
Filed under: Foraminifera environmental sample
Lineage: Eukaryota; Foraminifera
Description: SSU rRNA
Rfam family: Eukaryotic small subunit ribosomal RNA
Source: RNAcentral